UCAGACGUGAAUACCCGCUGAACUUAAGCAUAU
RNAcentral lists this ribosomal RNA (33 nucleotides) under Pratylenchus penetrans. Its description in RNAcentral is "partial 28S ribosomal RNA". The record is from RNAcentral. RNAcentral also lists the same sequence under 6 other names. Lineage: Eukaryota; Metazoa; Nematoda; Chromadorea; Rhabditida; Pratylenchidae.